UUCCAGACUCCUACGGGAGGCAGCAGUGAGGAAUAUUGGUCAAUGGACGCAAGUCUGAACCAGCCAAGUCGCGUGCAGGAUGACGGCCCUCCGGGUUGUAAACUGCUUUUAGUUGGGAAUAAAAGGGGGCUCGUGAGCCCCGUAUUGUAUGUACCAUCAGAAAAAGGACCGGCUAAUUCCGUGCCAGCAGCCGCGGUAAUACGGAGGAUCCGAGCGUUAUCCGGAUUUAUUGGGUUUAAAGGGAGCGUAGAUGGGUUGUUAAGUCAGUUGUGAAAGUUUGCGGCUCAACCGUAAAAUUGCAAUUGAUACUGGCAGCCUUGAGUACAGGUGAGGUAGGCGGAAUUCGUGGUGUAGCGGUGAAAUGCUUAGAUAUCACGAAGAACUCCGAUUGCGAAGGCAGCCUACUAAACUGCCACUGACAUUGAUGCUCGAAAGUGUGGGUAUCAAACAGGAUUAGAUACCCGCGUAC
RNAcentral lists this ribosomal RNA (469 nucleotides) under uncultured bacterium. RNAcentral's name for it is "bacterial SSU rRNA". It matches the Rfam family "Bacterial small subunit ribosomal RNA", at positions 329 to 793 of the family's 1533-position model. The record is from RNAcentral.